This 483-nucleotide ribosomal RNA is filed under the name Trichoderma sp. P-6. RNAcentral describes it as "partial internal transcribed spacer 1, 5.8S ribosomal RNA, and internal transcribed spacer 2". The stretch from base 127 to 280 matches the Rfam family "5.8S ribosomal RNA". RNAcentral also lists the same sequence under 6 other names. Lineage: Eukaryota; Fungi; Ascomycota; Sordariomycetes; Hypocreales; Hypocreaceae. The record is from RNAcentral.
UCACGCCCCGGGUGCGUCGCAGCCCCGGAACCAGGCGCCCGCCGGAGGAACCAACCAAACUCUUUCUGUAGUCCCCUCGCGGACGUUAUUUCUUACAGCUCUGAGCAAAAAUUCAAAAUGAAUCAAAACUUUCAACAACGGAUCUCUUGGUUCUGGCAUCGAUGAAGAACGCAGCGAAAUGCGAUAAGUAAUGUGAAUUGCAGAAUUCAGUGAAUCAUCGAAUCUUUGAACGCACAUUGCGCCCGCCAGUAUUCUGGCGGGCAUGCCUGUCCGAGCGUCAUUUCAACCCUCGAACCCCUCCGGGGGAUCGGCGUUGGGGAUCGGGACCCCUCACACGGGUGCCGGCCCCUAAAUACAGUGGCGGUCUCGCCGCAGCCUCUCCUGCGCAGUAGUUUGCACAACUCGCACCGGGAGCGCGGCGCGUCCACGUCCGUAAAACACCCAACUUUCUGAAAUGUUGACCUCGGAUCAGGUAGGAAUACC